This 29-nucleotide small RNA is filed under the name Bombyx mori (domestic silkworm). RNAcentral's name for it is "piRNA piR-bmo-1594053". Lineage: Eukaryota; Metazoa; Arthropoda; Insecta; Lepidoptera; Bombycidae. The record is from RNAcentral.
UACAUCCAAUGUUACGAUGAGACCGUUGC